CUCGUAGGCGGCUUGUCGCGUCUGCUGUGAAAUCCUGGGGCUUAACUCUGGGCGUGCAGUGGGUACGGGCAGGCUAGAGUGCGGUAGGGGUGAUUGGAAUUCCUGGUGUAGCGGUGGAAUGCGCAGAUAUCAGGAGGAACACCGAUGGCGAAGGCAGGUCACUGGGCCGUUACUGACGCUGAGGAAGCGAAAGCAUGGGGAGCGAACA
This 208-nucleotide ribosomal RNA is filed under the name uncultured bacterium. Its description in RNAcentral is "partial 16S ribosomal RNA". It matches the Rfam family "Bacterial small subunit ribosomal RNA", at positions 568 to 774 of the family's 1533-position model. The record is from RNAcentral.